Non-coding RNA from Mycena capillaripes, 92 nucleotides. The record is from the annotation of a GenBank genome assembly. Lineage: Eukaryota; Fungi; Basidiomycota; Agaricomycetes; Agaricales; Mycenaceae.
GCCUUUGUGGAUUAAUUGGCAAAAUCAACUCUGUUCAGUUCUCCAGUCCGCUAUUACGAGAGUUGAUGUGGGUUCGAAUCCCACCAGAGGCA